Molecule: non-coding RNA, 430 nt
Organism: Caretta caretta (loggerhead turtle)
Lineage: Eukaryota; Metazoa; Chordata; Testudines; Cheloniidae
Source: RefSeq, a predicted model, not a curated record
UCUGAUUGUUGGUGUUCGACUGCGUACUACAGUCUCAGAUAGCAAAUGUGCCUGUGCAUCACCCCACAGAAAGGCAGCAGCUUGACUGACCCAGUGCCAAAAAAAAAUAUGGUCGCAGAUAAAGGGCCCAGAUUGUGGGUGGAAGCUAGAAAGAUCGUGGAAGCAGUCAAAAAAAUUAAGGCUGGAGGAAGCUGUGAGAAGAUCAUCAGGAACAAAAAAAUUUGCAUCCUUCAGUAGAAGGAACCACGGAAUUUAAACCACUAGAAAUGGCACCUGGAUUCCAAAUUGGGAAUAGAUUCUUUUAAUGACUGUUUUUGUCAAAAAGAUGAUAAAAAUCAGGAAAAAAAACAAGAAACUAUUCCCUGGGAUGCAGAGCUCAAGUGUGUCUUACUGAACUACAAUAAAGAGAAAUGAGUUCUUUGCAAUUUAA